AUUUAUAUAUAAUUCAAUCUUUUUUCAUGUUGCAUGCAAACAACAGGCGCCAUCUUUUUAAUUUUUAAUUGAUAAGAUAGGAGAAAAUUCACCGUGUGUGCCCAGAGAUAUAAAAGAAAAGAAACACAUUUUUGUAUGUUCACCUUGAUGUCUUCGAGUUUGGAAGGAAAAGAAGACGAUCGCACGAUCUCGUUCCCUUCGAUUUGAAUAAAAUUUCAAAAGAAGGAUCGGCUAAAAUAAUGCGAGCCUGCCGCACGCAUCGAUCGAAUUUCAUCCGAUUUCGAAGCGACACGACAUUCUGCCGUCGGCACUCGUCCUCGGCACUCGUCCUCGGCACAUUCGUCGCGCGACUCGUCUCCUUCGGCCUCGAGGAGCACUAAUAAAACCUGGCUAUGUGCACGCACGUGUGUGUGUGUAUAUAUAUGAGAGAGGGCAAAAGAUAGGACGCCGGUCAGUUUACCCAACGAAACACGAAGGUCCUCGAGGAGAGCCGAACUUCCUCGAGAAUUCUUUGAAUUUUCGCCUCGAACGCCGCUGUUGCUGCUGCUGCUGUUGCUGACAUAUUCUUUGUCCCCGGCGCAGGCGCGCACGCGAGUCCA
RNAcentral lists this long non-coding RNA (599 nucleotides) under Polistes fuscatus (common paper wasp). Its description in RNAcentral is "uncharacterized LOC122520110, transcript variant X1". The record is from RNAcentral. Lineage: Eukaryota; Metazoa; Arthropoda; Insecta; Hymenoptera; Vespidae.